GACGGAGGGUGCAAGCGUUGUUCGGAAUUACUGGGCGUAAAGCGCGCGUAGGCGGCUUUGCAAGUCGAGUGUGAAAUCCCCAGGCUUAACCUGGGAACUGCAUUCGAGACUGCAUAGCUAGAGUAUGGGAGAGGGAAGUGGAAUUUCAGGUGUAGCGGUGAAAUGCGUAGAUAUCUGAAGGAACAUCAGUGGCGAAAGCGACUUCCUGGACCAAUACUGACGCUCAUGUGCGAAAGCGUGGGGAGCAAACAGG
RNAcentral lists this ribosomal RNA (253 nucleotides) under uncultured bacterium. RNAcentral describes it as "partial 16S ribosomal RNA". It matches the Rfam family "Bacterial small subunit ribosomal RNA", at positions 524 to 776 of the family's 1533-position model. The record is from RNAcentral.